CACGUAGGGGGCGAGCGUUGUCCGGAUUUAUUGGGCGUAAAGAGCUCGUAGGCGGCUCAGUAAGUCAGGUGUGAAACCUCCAGGCUCAACCUGGAGACGCCACCUGAUACUGCUGUGGCUAGAGUCCGGUAGGGGAGCGUGGAAUUCCUGGUGUAGCGGUGAAAUGCGCAGAUAUCGGGAGGAACACCCGUGGCGAAGGCGGCUCUCUGGACCACUACUGACGCUGAGGCGCGAAAGCCGGGGGAGCAAACAGG
RNAcentral lists this ribosomal RNA (254 nucleotides) under uncultured bacterium. RNAcentral's name for it is "partial 16S ribosomal RNA". It matches the Rfam family "Bacterial small subunit ribosomal RNA", at positions 524 to 776 of the family's 1533-position model. The record is from RNAcentral.